UACGAAGGGGGCGAGCGUUGUUCGGAUUUACUGGGCGUAAAGGGCGCGCAGGCGGUCUUGAAAGUCAGGCGUGAAAGCCCCGGGCUUAACCUGGGAAUUGCGCUUGAUACUCUGAGACUGGAGUACGGGAGAGGAGAGUGGAAUUCCCAGUGUAGAGGUGAAAUUCGUAGAUAUCGGGAGGAACACCGGUGGCGAAGGCGGUUCUCUGGGCCUGUACUGACGCUGAGGAGCGAAAGCUAGGGGAGCGAACGGG
This 253-nucleotide ribosomal RNA is filed under the name uncultured bacterium. Its description in RNAcentral is "partial 16S ribosomal RNA". It matches the Rfam family "Bacterial small subunit ribosomal RNA", at positions 524 to 776 of the family's 1533-position model. The record is from RNAcentral.